AUUGAACGCUGGCGGCAGGCUUAACACAUGCAAGUCGAGCGAGCGGCGGACGGGUGAGUAAUGUAUGGGGAUCUGACUGAUGGAGGGGGAUAACUACUGGAAACGGUAGCUAAUACCGCAUAACUUCGGAUGAACCCAUAUGGGAUUAGCUUGUAGGUAGGGGAAAGGCUGACCUAGGCGACGAUCCCUAGCUGGUCUGAGAGGAUGCUCAGCCACACUGGGACUGAGACACGGCCCAGACGCCUACGGGAGGCAGCAGUGGGGAAUAGUGCACAAUGGGCGCAAGCCGGAUGCAGCCAUGCCGCGUGUAUGAAGAAGGCCUUCGGGUUGUAAAGUACUUUCAGUGGGGAGGCGUUACCGACAGAAGAAGCACCGGCUAACUCCGUGCCAGCAGCCGCGGUAAUAC
Molecule: ribosomal RNA, 406 nt
Filed under: uncultured bacterium
Lineage: Bacteria
Description: partial 16S ribosomal RNA
Rfam family: Bacterial small subunit ribosomal RNA
Source: RNAcentral